Molecule: ribosomal RNA, 394 nt
Filed under: uncultured archaeon
Lineage: Archaea
Description: bacterial SSU rRNA
Rfam family: Archaeal small subunit ribosomal RNA
Source: RNAcentral
UAUUUGCUAAGGUUUCUCCCNUUCGGGGCGAGAUCACAGGACUAUAGGGAGACCCGCUGNCGAGAAGUCAGAGGAAGGUGAGGGCAACGGUAGGUCAGUAUGCUCCGAAUGCACUGGGCUACACGCGCAAUACAAAGGACGGGACAAUGGGCCGCUGCUCCGAGAGGAAAGAUGGCUAUCCCGAAACCCGUUCGUAGUUCGGAUUGAGGGCUGUAACUCGCCCUCAUGAAGCUGGAUUAGGUAGUAAUCGCGUCUCAAAAAGGCGCGGUGAAUAUGCCCCUGCUCCUUGCACACACCGCCCGUCAAACCAUCUUAGUUGGGGGUGGGUGAGGCUGCCUUUUAGUGGGGUAUUCGAGCCUGCCUUCGACAAGGAGGGUUAAGUCGUAACAAGGUA